This 433-nucleotide long non-coding RNA is filed under the name Elaeis guineensis (African oil palm). RNAcentral's name for it is "long non-coding RNA (EGUI_LNC066799)". The record is from RNAcentral. Lineage: Eukaryota; Viridiplantae; Streptophyta; Magnoliopsida; Arecales; Arecaceae.
GAAGCUCGGAUGGAGACUUCUUAUUGUAGAAGUCCCGCUGCUGGAGAAGCUCGGUCAUUGACGAAGUCCGAAAGAAGUUCGGAAUAGAAAUCCGACUGGUGGAGCCCAUCCGUUGUAGAAGUUCGUCUAGGAUCCAUCCACUAUAGAAGUUCGGAUGGAGUCCGGCUCUUGUAGGAGCUCGGAUGAAGUCCACUUGCAAUAGAAGUUCGGAGUAGAGUCGAUCGUGGCUGGAAGAAGUCUGGAAGAGAUUCAGAGAAUAGUCGAUCACUGUAAAAAAUUGGCUGAUAGUGAAGCUCAGAAAGCAUUUGGAGCAGCCCAGUAGAUGAAUGGAGGAGCUCAUUAUCGGAGAAGUCUGAAUGGUAUUAUGCAAGCUCGGACGGUUGGGGGAGUUCAGAAAGAUGCCACACAAGGUCGGAAGCUGGAAGAGCCCUGG